GUAUGGGGCAAGCGUUGUUCGGAUUUAUUGGGCGUAAAGGGCGUGUAGGCGGCUCAUCAAGUCUGGUGUGAAAUCGCAGGGCUCAACCCUGCAUAUGCGCUGGAAACUGGUGGGCUUGAGCUCUUGAGGGGAAGCUGGAAUUCCAGGUGUAGGGGUGAAAUCUGUAGAUAUCUGGAAGAACACCGGUGGCGAAGGCGAGCUUCUAUCAGAGGACUGACGCUGAGGCGCGAAAGCGUGGGGAGCAAACAGGAUUAGAUACCCUGGUAGUCCACGCUGUAAACGAUGUGCACUAGGCGUGGGGCCCGUACGGGUUCUGUGCCGUAGCUAACGUGUUAAGUGCACCGCCUGGGGAGUAUGCUCGCAAGGGUG
Molecule: ribosomal RNA, 369 nt
Filed under: uncultured bacterium
Lineage: Bacteria
Description: bacterial SSU rRNA
Rfam family: Bacterial small subunit ribosomal RNA
Source: RNAcentral